This 220-nucleotide unclassified non-coding RNA is filed under the name Hevea brasiliensis (rubber tree). The record is from RNAcentral. Lineage: Eukaryota; Viridiplantae; Streptophyta; Magnoliopsida; Malpighiales; Euphorbiaceae.
GUUCUGAGCAUUCGGGUAGGCCCCCAUAACUGACUGACCUGACGUAGGUCCACUUGUGUCACUUUUUAUCAUUUUUGCCUUAUCUGAUGCCAAAUAAUCAUCUGCAUGUCGUUUUUUGGAUGCGGACAUGCUUUUCUGACGUAAAAAAAGUAUGUUGUGCCGAUUGCCUGCCUUUUCAAUGGACUGUGCAUCUCCAAAGAGAUCUAAAAACUCCAAAAAU